AGUAGCAAGUCACAUGCCUCUCAUAGUCCUCAAGAGAAUAUGCCGGGGAAGGUGCAUCUGCUUAGUGGACAAGUACUUUUUGAGCUUCUGGAUGCAGUGAUGGGGCCUCAGAACACCGGGAUGAUACAGCCAGGCCUCUGCCUUCACGGAACUUACUGUCUCGGACUGGGGGUGGGGAGCACGGAGAGAUGCAGGAGAAUCAAGGAAGCCAAGAAUGAGAAAAUGUCAAUGCUGAAAAGAACAAAGCAGAGGCUCGUCAAUUCCAAUUUUGCCUAAUUAAUAAAUAAAUCAACACCUGAAAGGAAGUGGAAGUUGCCAAGAACUUUUGGCCUUAACCAAAAGGAAGCUACGGUUAUUCCCGGAAUGAGGUUCGUGCCCUGAAAGGGCUGCAGGCAGCAGCAGUGUCUGCCAGCAAAGUUUCAUGUUCGAGUCCUCACCGCACACAUUCCCCUCUGCUCCUCUGGGAGCAGGAACUGUCUUUUAUUU
Molecule: long non-coding RNA, 486 nt
Organism: Hyaena hyaena (striped hyena)
Lineage: Eukaryota; Metazoa; Chordata; Mammalia; Carnivora; Hyaenidae
Exons: 3
Source: RefSeq, a predicted model, not a curated record